RNAcentral lists this ribosomal RNA (460 nucleotides) under Paenibacillus sp. R-41807. RNAcentral describes it as "bacterial SSU rRNA". It matches the Rfam family "Bacterial small subunit ribosomal RNA", at positions 28 to 467 of the family's 1533-position model. The record is from RNAcentral. Lineage: Bacteria; Bacillati; Bacillota; Bacilli; Caryophanales; Paenibacillaceae.
GACGAACGCUGGCGGCAUGCCUAAUACAUGCAAGUCGAGCGGAGUUGAUAGGAAGCUUGCUUCCUUGAUACUUAGCGGCGGACGGGUGAGUAACACGUAGGCAACCUGCCCUCAAGUUUGGGACAACUACCGGAAACGGUAGCUAAUACCGAAUAAUUGUUUUCUUCGCCUGAAGGAAACUGGAAAGACGGAGCAAUCUGUCACUUGGGGAUGGGCCUGCGGCGCAUUAGCUAGUUGGUGGGGUAACGGCUCACCAAGGCGACGAUGCGUAGCCGACCUGAGAGGGUGAUCGGCCACACUGGGACUGAGACACGGCCCAGACUCCUACGGGAGGCAGCAGUAGGGAAUCUUCCGCAAUGGGCGAAAGCCUGACGGAGCAAUGCCGCGUGAGUGAUGAAGGUUUUCGGAUCGUAAAGCUCUGUUGCCAGGGAAGAACGCUUGGGAGAGUAACUGCUCUCAA